AUAGAGUUUGAUCCUGGCUCAGGAUGAACGCUGGCGGCGUGCCUAACACAUGCAAGUCGAACGAAGCCUUCGGGCUGAGUGGCGGACGGGUGAGUAACGCGUGAGAAUCUACUUUAGAGAUGGGGACAACCGUUGGAAACGACGGCUAAUCCCCAAUAAGCCGAAAGGUGAAAGGGUUUCCGCUCGAAGAGGAGCUCGCGUCCGAUUAGUUAGUUGGUGGGGUAAGAGCCUACCAAGGCAGCGAUCGGUAGCUGGUCUGAGAGGAUGAGCAGCCACACUGGGACUGAGACACGGCCCAGACUCCUACGGGAGGCAGCAGUGGGGAAUUUUCCGCAAUGGGCGAAAGCCUGACGGAGCAACGCCGCGUGUGGGAAGAAGGCUCUUGGGCUGUCAACCACUUUUCUCAGGGAAGAAGCUCUGACGGUACCUGAGGAAUCAGCCUCGGCUAACUCCGUGCCAGCAGCCGCGGUAAUACGGAGGAGGCAAGCGUUAUCCGGAAUUAUUGGGCGUAAAGCGUCCGCAGGGGGCACUUCAAGUCUGCUGUCAAAGGUCGGAGCUUAACUCCGGUUCGGCAGUGGAAACUGGAGCGCUAGAGGGCGACAGGGGUAGAGGGAAUUCCCAGUGUAGCGGUGAAAUGCGUAGAGAUUGGGAAGAACAACGGUGGCGAAAGCGCUCUACUGGGUCGCACCUGACCACCUUAUUCAAAGCUAAGGUAGCGAAACCCAUUAGAUACCCCUGUAGUCUUAGCCGUAAACGAUGAU
This 761-nucleotide ribosomal RNA is filed under the name Euhalothece sp. HSC30. Its description in RNAcentral is "bacterial SSU rRNA". It matches the Rfam family "Bacterial small subunit ribosomal RNA", at positions 1 to 813 of the family's 1533-position model. Lineage: Bacteria; Bacillati; Cyanobacteriota; Cyanophyceae; Chroococcales; Halothecacae. The record is from RNAcentral.